AGCAGCACAAACAGUGGUCUGACGAAGCUCUGUCUUCUGCUGUCGGGUUUAACGUGUAAAUUUGGUUUUUAGAGCCGACAGCUGAUCGUUUCCGGUCCGGAGGAGGAAUUGUAACUUCCGAGUGAAAUAUUUACUUCUACUUUUUAGUCAGAGGAAACCUUCAGGUGGCUUAAAAUACAUGGAUGCAAGAUAAACUGAUGGCUGAGCUUAUACCGCCGGACUCAAGAAGGUGUAAUUAUUUCUUCCUCUAUGAUGGAUCCAAGGUCCAAGGAGAGGGCGACCCUACCAGCGGGGGGAUCUGCUACUUCUACCCCGAGGAGACCCCUUUCGAUCAGCAGGAGCUGCUCUGCAGUCAGUUUGCCGGCGUGGGUCGCUGUGUGUCCGAGCUCUCCUCAUCUCCUGUUCAGACACUCAGGCUGCGGCGCAACAAGUUCGCCAUCCGCAUGAAAGAUGACUUCUUAUGGGCUCUGGGCUGCUCGGUGGACGUGCCGACUGUCAGCGUCUGUGAGCUCCUGGAUCGGCUAAUAAACCUCUUUUGUUUCUACAACGGCUCUGUGCGCCAGAGCUACCAGCUCAACAGUCAGGAGACUCUGGCGGCUCGGUGGGCUCGGUACCUCUCAUACCUGCAGUCAGGAUCCUCAGAGAUGUGUCACAUCUUCAGCUGCUUGAAAACAAUUGACUCGACCAAUGUUGACCCUCUUCUCCUGCUCAAAGCUGCCCUCAUUCUGCAGGCCUGCCAGCGCUGCCCUCUAGUGCUCGCAGGCUGUAUUCUCUUCAGAGGACGAGUUGUUAGCACACAGAUGUCUCCAGAGCUCACAGUGAAGGUCAUGGUUCAUGAGAGUGAAACAUACACCAAGGGCCAAAGGCUCAAUGGACCGAGCACAUCCAGCUCAUUCGGUGGUGCUGUCAGCUCUACAACCGUAUUCUUGACUAUGUCUGAACUCCAGUACCUGCAGUCUGCUCCUGUCGACAAAGAUUCCAGUUCACAUUCUACUCCUAGCAAAAACGUCCCUCCGAAGAAGACCCGCCUGUCAAGGACUCUAUCCGACACGCCCUCUACAGAGUCAGAACCUUCUUAUCCAAGUUCGUCCCAGUCGCCCCAGAAGACGUCCUUCAGCCCUCACUUGUCAGAAUCAGAUAACUCUGUGUGCAGCCCGACUGCAUCACAAAGUACAGCUGAUUCACUCAACCUCUCACUACUGUCACUCAGGCCUCCUCUGUCGAAUGGAAAACACCCUCAUGAAGCUGAGGAGGACGUGCUGGAGGAGUCGUACUAUCACAGUUUUCACAAUGGCGGAGAUGGAGGCAGCCAGAUACACAGUGAAGGAGACAGCUCAGUGUUUGAAGAAAAUUCCCAUGUCAAUGGAGACGGUGACGCAGCUGGUGGGACAGUGUUUGACUUCAGAGGGACUGAUUCUGGGAAUGAGCAGUCACAUGAUGAUAAGAUGUUGGUGGGAGACGGUGGAGGCUGCGGUGGGAGGAAUCAAGGCCGCAAGGCAGAGAUGAAAGAUCCUUCUCAUCUCUCUGGUGCUUUUGGCAACUUAGCGGAGAGUCCGUUGGUCGGCAUGACGCUGUACAUGCACCGGGUGAAGGGCCUGGUGUUGGCUCUGCUGGUGGAGCCUCAUUUCUUGAGUGACGCAGCGUCUAUGGAGGAAGUGUACCACAGCAGCCUGGCUUCACUCAAUGGACUGGAGGCCCAUCUGAGGACCAUCUCUUCAGGGGCCCCCGGUGCUCCAGGACCCUACAUCUUUGCCCAUUUUGACUGCAUUCAGAGCACAUUGACAACCAACCUGUCUGGCCGACCAGGGGGAGCCCCGGAGCAUCCUUUUGUCAGAGCCACAUCACUCCUUCACUCGCAUUUCUGUAACACUGAAACUCUGCAGGAGGCUAUUAUCAGGAGCGCUGGUGCUGCUGUGUAUGGAACCCGCAGCGUGGCCCAGGAGACUUACUUCCAGCAGCACGGAGGAUCGCUGAGGAACUCGGGCAUCCCUAACCACCAGGACAGCGCUUUCUCACUGCCCAGCAAGGCCCGACACAGACUGCUGAAACACGGGGUUAACCUGCUCUGACCGAUCAUCACAACGCCUGCUCAGUGUUCAAGAGGAGCUCGAUUCAAAAAUUUAAACACCUGUCCUGGGGUUUGUGUCCUUCUUAGGGUCAUCAGAGGCCUGCAUGUGACCCUCACAAUCCGGCUCUCUUUGUUUUCCGCCUUCAGUUUAACGCCUCGUUUUAAAAUGGCCUGGAGCAGUACGUGCGCACCGCUGUUGAAGCCACACAUGCUUGUAAAAAUGUUACUGUGCAUGUUCUGCGCGCAUGUUUCUGUGCUGCAUGUGCUGUAAAUGAGAUGGGUCUUGAUGAUCCAAAUAUGGAGUAAUUAGAGUCAUUAGCUAAGUAGCUGAAUGUGAAUGGACGGGUCGGCGCUCUUCGGGGCGCCUCAUUAUGCAGGCGCAUUAAAAGAAAGCAGUGGGAGUCAAAUGGGUGGUUAAGGGCACGGACAAAAAGAGGGGCAGGGACUGAGAGGAGGGUCAGGAUUCAAACUGUAAGUGGUUUGUUGCCCCCAUUGUCAGAAGGGUAUAUAACCCGCACACCAGACUUCAUGAAUGUAACAUUUGGAGAGGUGGCGUCACGGAGAAGCUGCUUGAAGAACCAAAGGCCGAGAGUUGGGAUUGCACCAUGGCCUCUUCAAACUGCAUUUGGAUUGUUUCAUUUCUCAUCACAGCGAUGACAAGUAACUUUGGAGUAUUUGGUCGCGCGGUGGACACGCUGGAAUUUCUGUCACAGCUGUCCAAAACUGCACACGAAUCCCCCGAGCCAGCUUUACGCACGGCCGCGUCUCGGAGGAGGAUCGCGGAGGCGCACCGGGAGCGAUGCGCAGAGCUGGCGGCACCUUGGCUGGAAAAUAUGCAACAAGCUCCCGGUGAUAAUGGAACACUGUUGCAGCUCCGUGUUCGGCCGUUUUCACCUGGAUCCUCACGGGGUUUGGUUUUUCCAGGAAAAUCUCUUUUCAGCUUUGUGCGGCGGGUUUAUCGCUGCUGUCAGGAAGGAGUGAACUGCAGGAGCGUUAAAGGGAUUCAAGGUCUACUGAGAGCAGGUAGGACAGAUUCAUGUCACAGGAAACUUGAAUUUGUUGGGUUGUGCUGAUCCAGCUCUUUGUGGGUGAGGUUGCAGAGGCCAAUCAGAAAAAGUGAAGACCAGGCUGAUGUUCACGGUGGUUAAUUCUACUAAAUAGACAUCAGUGUAACAUAUAAAUGCAGCUGUUGUGUAAUCAAAGCAAUCCUCACAUCUAUGAACAUCAGCCACCGACAGGCCCUGAGGACAUAGGCCACUAACACUGGUGAAACAUUGUCCAACUUGAUGCCAUCAGCUAGUUAACAUUUAGGUUGAAUGACUCUUGAUCCAGCUGAUUAGAUUUGGAUUUAAGAAAUUUCCACCAUGAAAAGCUACUCUGAUUUUAAGUCAAAGAAAAGUAGAAACAGUGCUCCAGAAAUCCUUUUCCUUUAAUAAUCAAAUUCACUUAGAUACUCUUUUAAGUCUCCCGAUGAAGACCGUCUUAGAAGUUCUGAUGUGGAUGACAGAGAAGAGCAGGUGGCUGCAGCAGUUUUGCAGAGAUAUAUGUAAUAUUCCCGGAUAAUAAAGCCCAUUCAGAUAAAAGGAAGGGAAUAUGAGCAAAGAUGAGUACACAAUUUAGCAAAACAAAAAUAGAACAGAUACUUAAGGAGCCACAUACUAAACAUACA
RNA transcript from Amphiprion ocellaris (clown anemonefish), 3737 nucleotides. It is a transcript of the gene named HPS4 biogenesis of lysosomal organelles complex 3 subunit 2, with no coding region annotated. The transcript is spliced from 13 exons. The record is from RefSeq and is a predicted model, not a curated record. NCBI's taxonomy places the organism in Eukaryota, Metazoa, Chordata, Actinopteri, Pomacentridae.